GCUUUAUACAUUAUAAAGUGAUCCAAUCGUAUUCUAUUUGUUAAUAUAAGAAACAUAAAAUAUGGAUAAAACUCUGAAAUUUAUGUAUUAUAUGGUUUUAGUUCUUUCUCCAUUUCUUGUUACAAAAGAGCUUGACACAUAUUUUGAAUGUGAAAUUGAUGAUGAUUGUCCGCAUAUUUUCAACUUGUAUCCUUUUUUUUAUCGGUGUAUUAAUCACCGAUGUGAACUUUUUAGAUUGGUGUAACUUUUUGAUUGAGUAUAAGACCAAACAAAUCUCCAACAAGGAAGAAUACAUUUCUGCACUAGCAAAUAAAUUUUUAUGCAAUAUACUUUAUGCUAGAAUGUUUCAUGGGGUUUCAAUUAAUUUUGUGUUGGAACCCAACAAUUUUCUUUUCCUUUUGUAAGUUCAUUCACCUUGCAAUUGUGGAUUUGUACUCUUAAGAUGUUUGCAAUAAAAUGAAAUAAGACAGUAAAGCAUAUUAAAACUAGAA
This is a long non-coding RNA of Vicia villosa (hairy vetch), 491 nucleotides long. RefSeq lists it as uncharacterized. NCBI's taxonomy places the organism in Eukaryota, Viridiplantae, Streptophyta, Magnoliopsida, Fabales, Fabaceae. The transcript is spliced from 2 exons. The record is from RefSeq and is a predicted model, not a curated record.